Bos taurus (domestic cattle) is the source of this 72-nucleotide non-coding RNA. Lineage: Eukaryota; Metazoa; Chordata; Mammalia; Artiodactyla; Bovidae. The record is from Rfam.
UCCCUGGCAGUCCAGGGGUUAAGACUCUGCACUUCCAAUGCAAGGGUGCAGGUUCUAUACCUGGUCGGGGAA